RNAcentral lists this long non-coding RNA (427 nucleotides) under Capsicum annuum. RNAcentral describes it as "long non-coding RNA (CANN_LNC005233)". Lineage: Eukaryota; Viridiplantae; Streptophyta; Magnoliopsida; Solanales; Solanaceae. The record is from RNAcentral.
AUCAUUUUACCCAUCCCAUUGGUUGUAUUAUCUUGUUUAUGGAUUUUGGGAUGGUAUUCAUGGUUUCCAAGGCCUCCGAGAAGGUUUUGGGUGAGUUGACGUCAUUUUUAGACUUUUAAGAGCUUAUGGUUGAAUUUGGCCAGUAUAUAAAAAAUUCGAGUGGCGAAUGUCAAAAUGGACCGUGCAAGCAAUUCUCGAAUAUCAAAAUUAUGUUUGCAGAGGAGUUGGUAUGAUUUUUUGGCUUUUUGAUCCUAUUUCGACCCUUGAUUAUAAAAUACUAUAAAUACGGUCUCCGGGGUAGAUUUUGUGAUAAAGAACUUUAUGCAUAGUUUGAUGAUUCCAUUAGAUCCAGAACAUGUUUUAGAAUCAAAUUUCAUUAUUGUACCAUUUUCAUAGGUUUCCAAAUGAGGUUAGGAGUAAAAAAUGA